GAUGAACGCUAGCUACAGGCCUAACACAUGCAAGUCGAGGGGCAGCGGGAAGGAAGCUUGCUUUCUUUGCCGGCGACCGGCGCACGGGUGCGUAACGCGUAUCGAACCUCCCCCAUACUCGGGAAUAGCCUUGCGAAAGUAAGAUUAAUGCCCGAUGGUCUCAGAAUAUGACAUCAUGCUUUGAGUAAAGAUUUCAUCGGUAUGGGAUGGCGAUGCGUCUGAUUAGAUAGUUGGCGGGGUAACGGCCCACCAAGUCGGCGAUGUCUAGGGGAGCUGAGAGGCUUAUCCCCCACACUGGUACUGAGACACGGACCAGACUCC
RNAcentral lists this ribosomal RNA (321 nucleotides) under uncultured Prevotella sp. RNAcentral describes it as "bacterial SSU rRNA". It matches the Rfam family "Bacterial small subunit ribosomal RNA", at positions 28 to 339 of the family's 1533-position model. The record is from RNAcentral. Lineage: Bacteria; Pseudomonadati; Bacteroidota; Bacteroidia; Bacteroidales; Prevotellaceae.